This 253-nucleotide ribosomal RNA is filed under the name uncultured bacterium. RNAcentral describes it as "partial 16S ribosomal RNA". It matches the Rfam family "Bacterial small subunit ribosomal RNA", at positions 524 to 776 of the family's 1533-position model. The record is from RNAcentral.
UACGUAGGGGGCUAGCGUUGUCCGGAAUCACUGGGCGUAAAGCGCACGCAGGCGGUUUGUUAAGUCUGAUGUGAAAGCCCACGGCUUAACUGUGGAGGGUCAUUGGAAACUGGGAAACUUGAGUACAGAAGAGGAAUGUGGAACUCCAUGUGUAGCGGUGGAAUGCGUAGAUAUAUGGAAGAACACCAGUGGCGAAGGCGACAUUCUGGUCUGUUACUGACACUGAGGCUCGAAAGCGUGGGUAGCAAACAGG